Molecule: ribosomal RNA, 465 nt
Filed under: uncultured bacterium
Lineage: Bacteria
Description: partial 16S ribosomal RNA
Rfam family: Bacterial small subunit ribosomal RNA
Source: RNAcentral
GACGAACGCUGGCGGCGUGCUUAACACAUGCAAGUCGAACGGAAAGGCCCUGCUUGCAGGGUACUCGAGUGGCGAACGGGUGAGUAACACGUGGGUGAUCUGCCCUGCACUUCGUGAUAAGCCUGGGAAACUGGGUCUAAUACCGGAUAGGAGCCAUUUUUAGUGUGAUGGUUGGAAAGUUUUUUCGGUGUAGGAUGAGCUCGCGGCCUAUCAGCUUGUUGGUGGGGUAAUGGCCUACCAAGGCGGCGACGGGUAGCCGGCCUGGGAGGGUGGACGGCCACAUUGGGACUGAGGGACGGCCCAGACUGCGACGGGAGGAAGCAGUGGGGAAGAUUGCACAAUGGGCGCAAGCCGGAUGCAGCGACGCCGCGUGGGGGAUGACGGGCUUCGGGUUGUAAACUCCGUUCGCUAGGGACGAAGCUUUUUGUGACGGUACCUAGAUAAGAAGCACCGGCUAACUACGUG